This 220-nucleotide ribosomal RNA is filed under the name uncultured Glomus. RNAcentral's name for it is "partial small subunit ribosomal RNA". It matches the Rfam family "Eukaryotic small subunit ribosomal RNA", at positions 591 to 817 of the family's 1831-position model. The record is from RNAcentral. Lineage: Eukaryota; Fungi; Glomeromycota; Glomeromycetes; Glomerales; Glomeraceae.
CCAAUAGCGUAUAUUAAAGUUGUUGCAGUUAAAAAGCUCGUAGUUGAAUUUCGGGACCAGUAUGUUGGUCGUGCUUCGGUACGUACUGUCAUUACUGGUUUCUCCCUUCUGAAGAACCUUGAUGUCAUUAAUUUGGUGUCUUGGGGAAUCAGGACUGUUACUUUGAAAAAAUUAGAGUGUUUAAAGCAGGCAUACGCUUGAAUACAUUAGCAUGGAAUAA